CAGCCGCCGCGGUAAUACCGGCGGCCCGAGUGGCGGUCACUAUUAUUGGGCUUAAAGCGUCCGUAGCCGGGUUGGGAAGUCCUCCGGGAAAUCUGGCCGCUUAAAGGUCAGAAUGCCGGAGGAUACUCCCAGCCUAGGGAGCGGGAGAGGCCGAGGGUAUUCCCGGAGUAGGGGUGAAAUCCUAUAAUCCCGGGAGGACCACCUGUGGCGAAGGCGCUCGGCUGGAACGCGUCCGACGGUGAGGGACGAAGGCCAGGGGAGCAAACCGGAUUAGAUACCCGGGUAGUCCUGGCUGUAAACGAUGCGGACUUUGUGUCGGACAAGCUAUGAGCUUGUCCGGUGCCGGAGGGAAACCGUUAAGUCCGCCACCUGGGGAGUACGGCCGCAAGGCUGAAACUUAAAGGAAUUGGCGGG
Molecule: ribosomal RNA, 414 nt
Filed under: uncultured microorganism
Description: bacterial SSU rRNA
Rfam family: Archaeal small subunit ribosomal RNA
Source: RNAcentral